RNAcentral lists this ribosomal RNA (496 nucleotides) under uncultured bacterium. RNAcentral describes it as "partial 16S ribosomal RNA". It matches the Rfam family "Bacterial small subunit ribosomal RNA", at positions 29 to 507 of the family's 1533-position model. The record is from RNAcentral.
AUGAACGCUGGCGGCGUGCCUAAUACAUGCCAGUCGAGCGAACAGACGAGGAGCUUGCUCCUCUGACGUUAGCGGCGGACGGGUGAGUAACCCGUGGAUAACCUACCUAUAAGACUGGGAUAACUUCGGGAAACCGGAGCUAAUACCGGAUAAUAUAUUGAACCGCAUGGUUCAAUAGUGAAAGACGGUUUUGCUGUCACUUAUAGAUGGAUCCGCGCCGCAUUAGCUAGUUGGUAAGGUAACGGCUUACCAAGGCAACGAUGCGUAGCCGACCUGAGAGGGUGAUCGGCCACACUGGAACUGAGACACGGUCCAGACUCCUACGGGAGGCAGCAGUAGGGAAUCUUCCGCAAUGGGCGAAAGCCUGACGGAGCAACGCCGCGUGAGUGAUGAAGGUCUUCGGAUCGUAAAACUCUGUUAUUAGGGAAGAACAAAUGUGUAAGUAACUAUGCACGUCUUGACGGUACCUAAUCAGAAAGCCACGGCUAACUACGUG